GGUUCAUUCAAAUUUCUGCCCUAUCAACUUUCGAUGGUAAGGUAUUGGCUUACCAUGGUUUCAACGGGUAACGGGGAAUUAGGGUUCGAUUCCGGAGAGGGAGCCUGAGAAACGGCUACCACAUCCAAGGAAGGCAGCAGGCGCGCAAAUUACCCAAUCCCGACCGGGGAGGUAGUGACAAUAAAUACUGAUACAGGGCUCUUUUGGGUCUUGUAAUUGGAAUGAGUACAAUUUAAACCUCUUAACGAGGAACAAUUGGAGGGCAAGUCUGGUGCCAGCAGCCGCGGUAAUUCCAGCUCCAAUAGCGUAUAUUAAAGUUGUUGCAGUUAAAAAGCUCGUAUUG
RNAcentral lists this ribosomal RNA (343 nucleotides) under uncultured fungus. Its description in RNAcentral is "SSU rRNA". It matches the Rfam family "Eukaryotic small subunit ribosomal RNA", at positions 292 to 635 of the family's 1831-position model. The record is from RNAcentral. Lineage: Eukaryota; Fungi.